CACUGAGUUAUGAGCAGGCGUUGUGUUGUGAAUUACUGUUUAGGUGUUGCCAUUGGCUUUUCUCUGUUAAAUUACCUGCUGUACACUUCCAAGUUCUCUGACGAUAUCCAGGGCUUUCUUUUCUCACUCCUGCUCACAGGGACCCCCACGUGCCCAUCCAGCCACGGGGUGGGGGUGGGGCAUUGCCAGGCCAUUCCAAAGAUUGCAAGAGUUCUUGGAGACGACUUGGAAUAUCUCAGCCCCAGGGAAGAUUCUAGACUUUCCUGGCUGAAACUGAAGCACGGGACCCAGGUUUGACUUUUGCUUAACUUUCCCAGUGUCCACAGGCUUGAGCCCCCAGCCUUGGCUCGGGGUCCACAGAGCCCCACAGGGUCCACAGGGCCCUGCAGGAGCAGAGCAGGGCUCCUGUGUCUCCAGCUUUCUGCCAGCUUUAAAGUCGUUCCUUGCAGCAACGCUGCUGUACAUGUGGUGGGGAACACCACCCACAUCAAAGCCCAUGUACAUAUCUCCGUGUACAUGUGUGCAUACACAUGUGCCCCUGUUAUAAAGUAGCAACGCAUGGUGUUUCUUUGGCAUUCCAAUUUGGUUUUAUUUUUUAACCCUUGAAAAUAUGGUUUUGGCGAUCUUUUCUUCUUCUCUUCCCUCUUUUCUAUUUAAUAAACACCCAUGUGACCAUGUG
RNAcentral lists this long non-coding RNA (679 nucleotides) under Rattus norvegicus (Norway rat). RNAcentral's name for it is "long non-coding RNA NONRATT009049". The record is from RNAcentral. Lineage: Eukaryota; Metazoa; Chordata; Mammalia; Rodentia; Muridae.